Pezoporus occidentalis (night parrot) is the source of this 1343-nucleotide long non-coding RNA. RefSeq lists it as uncharacterized. The transcript has 3 exons. The record is from RefSeq and is a predicted model, not a curated record. NCBI's taxonomy places the organism in Eukaryota, Metazoa, Chordata, Aves, Psittaciformes, Psittacidae.
GUUUAGCUUGACUUACUCCAGAUUAUUUAGCAGCUUGGAGUAGCGAGCACUAAGCAUUUUUAUUAUAGGACUUUCCAGUUUUAAUCUGUUUUAAGGACAAAGUUACUUUUGGUGUUAAAAACCUUUGUAAAGAAAUCCCAGAAACAUCUUUUUAUGUAAUAUUCUUUAAAAGCAGGUGUUUCAUUUCCAGUAGAGCAAUGCAUGUAUGUGCCCCUAAAUAUUGUGCUGAUUAAUUUGUUGACCACCGAGAUAUGUAUUUUGUUUUCAGUGGAUGCUCAAAUGAGUUUGUAAACAGGAGAACUAUGUUCCAUGUUCUCUUAGCAGAAGCAUAUAUAGUUCUUAUAACGCUUAAAGAAGAAAACAGUGAAUAGCUCAUUUCCUGGACUUGCAAGUGCUUUGCCUGAGAAGAGAAGCCACUGGUGGAAUCAGAAUGAGCAACGCUGCAUUUUUAGAAUGGAGCGUAUCACUUUGCAUACCCUCUUCUGUCAGAAGAAUCCUCUCAUGAGAGCAGUCGUGUUUGUGACAAGCUGAACUGGCACAGACCUUUCCUGUCUGCCCUCCAUGUAACCCCUCCAUUUCACAGCCAGCGUUCUGCUCUUCUAGCCAGCUGCUGUAGAUUUUCCUCUGGGAAUAAUGAUGUGGUAUGAAGAAAACCAUCACUUGGUGAGGAAUUUUUAGGAUCGAUUAUAAAACCAGCAUAGGUAACAGAGUUCAACUAAAAUAUAUGGAAAAAAAAGAAGCAAAUAAAUGUAGUGUAUGGAGAGAUUUAUGAAAAAUUGGAAAUUAGACUUUUUAAACUUAGAAAUUACUUUUGUGAUGGAUCACACUUCAUAAAGUUAUUGUCACCACAUUCCCCCCUGUGAGAACUUCCCUGUCUGCGUAAUUUGACUUCCUGAAUAACAGGCAACAACUAACGUUUUUCCUUCAUUUAUUCUUACAGUAAUUUUCUAUCAGUAUCUCUGUCUAGUGUUACAGGUAAAGGGACAGACCUUAACAUAACAUGGCAACUAUGUGCUUUCAAUGUAAAACAAACAUGAUGUUGUUUGACAUCAAUGAAAAAAUUCACUUUAAUUUCAGGGGGUCUUAUUGCCCACAGUAUGUAGCAUCUCUUUUGUAAUGUUGGCUCCGAGUUAAUACCUAGGUUUAAUUUUAGCUAGCUCUACAGAGGAUUUUUUUAUAACAAGUUGGUUUGCUUUGUUGUUUUAAUGAUUCUGUUUUCUUAAGUAUGCAGUUCUAAAAAUAAACAUGUUAGAGCUAACUGGCUUGUCUUUUCCUGCCCUUUCUCCCUACCUGAUUUUUCUGCCUCCUCUUUUUCAUGUCGCUUUGAUUUAGGCAAUUUACUA